UAUCACUGAAGAACAUUGGACAUAGAUGCUAAUAUGUAACACUUUGCCUUGUUAUCUUCGUUCAUCCAUUUUUCAAGUGCGGCUCGUUGAUUAAGGGAUGGACGAGCAGGUAACACAGGUGCUUCCUGAUCAAGGACAUGGAUAAAUUUUUUGGAGCUGAGAACGAUUCUCAGAUUCCAAAGCCAGUUUUUAUAAUUCGUAUUGGUCAACCUAUCAGUGUCAAGGAUACGGGCUAAGGGAUUGAAACUCGAUAUGGAUAUUUGUAAAGAGAAUAGUUUCUAGUUAGAUGUUUGUACUUAUAAAAUUAUUUAUUCU
This 315-nucleotide long non-coding RNA is filed under the name Elaeis guineensis (African oil palm). RNAcentral's name for it is "long non-coding RNA (EGUI_LNC039899)". The record is from RNAcentral. Lineage: Eukaryota; Viridiplantae; Streptophyta; Magnoliopsida; Arecales; Arecaceae.